UCUCCCUUGCUGGGGCUUUGCAACUUGUCAUUGGAUUCAGCUAUUUCUAGUGUUUGGAGGACUCUUUAUCAUCUUUGUGUGUUCCCAAGUUGGUUCAGCCAUACAUGGUCUAACUAUUGUUGCCUUAUAGCUGUUAUUACAAAAAGUUUCUUUGAACAAUGAUUUCCUUCUCUCAGAGAUUCUAAAUUCAUAUGUUUGAUGACAGUUCCUGCUGUUCGGAGAGCCAAAGGGAUGUAGCUUUUGUUACUUGCGCAAUGUUUUACAACGGAUUCAGAUUGCAAGGUGCACAUUCAAGUACAGAGAGGUGCUGUCCGACCUUUGAUUAAGAUGCUUCAGUCUCCAGAUGUACAACUUAAUUAGGGAAAUGGCAGCCUUUGCAAUGGGGAGAUUGGCCUAGAUUAAUAUGUUUUCAUUUCUUGAUUUGGUCCUGUUCGAAUCAGGUUGAUAAAAUUGAUUUUAAACGACAUUGUUUUGGCAA
Molecule: long non-coding RNA, 478 nt
Organism: Telopea speciosissima
Lineage: Eukaryota; Viridiplantae; Streptophyta; Magnoliopsida; Proteales; Proteaceae
Exons: 2
Source: RefSeq, a predicted model, not a curated record